ACUUGCCAAGUUUUCAUGUUACACUUUAUCUGCCACGAGGAGCUCAAUCAGGACACAAACAGGUACUGACCACUUGAGCAAGUGCCCUGGUCACUUUCAGGUAAAUUUUGAAUAAGGAAGAGAGCACGGGAAAAUGCAGGGAGAACUGGUUCAGCAGCUCCACGAAGGUAUUUGGAUUUCCAAAGACCAGACCCCAUGAAGUGGCUUUCCAGGUGGGAACUUGACAGAGCAGAGGCAGAUUAGUGGCACUUCUGGGUCUGAGCGGAAAAGGAACGAAGUGCACCGGCAGCACAAAGACGGACCGCGGUCCCUCUUCAGACAGCUUCCGGCCACUUGAGUCACUGAAAC
Lutra lutra (Eurasian river otter) is the source of this 348-nucleotide long non-coding RNA. RefSeq lists it as uncharacterized. The transcript has 3 exons. NCBI's taxonomy places the organism in Eukaryota, Metazoa, Chordata, Mammalia, Carnivora, Mustelidae. The record is from RefSeq and is a predicted model, not a curated record.